UACGUAGGGCGCAAGCGUUGUCCGGAAUUAUUGGGCGUAAAGAGCUCGUAGGCGGUUUGUCGCGUCUGCUGUGAAAACUCGAGGCUCAACCUCGGGCUUGCAGUGGGUACGGGCAGACUAGAGUGCGGUAGGGGAGACUGGAAUUCCUGGUGUAGCGGUGGAAUGCGCAGAUAUCAGGAGGAACACCGAUGGCGAAGGCAGGUCUCUGGGCCGCAACUGACGCUGAGGUGCGAAAGCGUGGGGAGCAAACAGG
This 253-nucleotide ribosomal RNA is filed under the name uncultured bacterium. RNAcentral's name for it is "partial 16S ribosomal RNA". It matches the Rfam family "Bacterial small subunit ribosomal RNA", at positions 524 to 776 of the family's 1533-position model. The record is from RNAcentral.